Non-coding RNA from Rattus norvegicus (Norway rat), 5021 nucleotides. Lineage: Eukaryota; Metazoa; Chordata; Mammalia; Rodentia; Muridae. The record is from RefSeq and is a predicted model, not a curated record.
AACCAAGCCUAGCUUCUGACCAGGAGGAGAGGCAUGCCCAGCUGUGCCUGGAGGACUGGUGAGGUGACCUUCAGUCAAAAACCACUAGGCAUUGGCAUGCUGUGAAAGUCACUGCAUCAAGCUGUCCCCAUCUUGCAAUACCAUCCGAAGUUGGUCCCGGUCCCUCCUGCUGACUCCUGUUGAUUUGGCUGAGGCCAGGCUGUCUCUGCUAGGUCAUGCCGCUACUGCUGCUAUCCUGAUACUACUGAACUGGACUGCUGGUGUAUCCCUGAAGUGUUUGUGAGUGGAUCAAGCUGCCGCUACUAACCCGUGAACAAAACCCUGCACAAAACUGCCAAUUUCCAGACAAAAUAGAUGGGCGCUUGCUCCAAAGAGCCAUUUCUGAACAGGUUCCUUCGUCCUCUCCUGGGCAUGACUUGGAAAGCCGAGGGCCGGAUGAGGGCAUCCUCUUAUCAAGUGGAUCCGGCCAGCCUGUCCAUACACCAUGGGUACCUGCAGCAUGUGCACACAGCAGGUACUGUGACGUAAAGGUAAGUCAGAUUCCUCCCACAGUGACUCACAGGCUAGAGGGAAAGGUAAGGCAGCGGCAAGAAAAGGAAAGUAGCCGUUGAUCGUGGUGGUGCAUGCUCGCAAUCCCGUCACACGGGAGGUAGAACAUCUGCCUGCCAAGGACUAUAUCGAUAGAAGAUAGGAAAAUGGAAGCCAGGGCCUUGUAAAUGCUAGGCAAGCCCCCUACCACUGAACUGUAUCCCUAGAAUGCUAACUAGAAUUUUGAACUCUGCAGGAUCCACUCAGAAAAAGAACCGAGGAAAACAUGUUUCUGUAUUCUUUUAGUCAUUUUUUUCUUUUUCUUUUUCUUUUCUUUUUUUUUUUUUUUUUUUUUUUUUUUUGGAGCUGGGGACCCAACCCAGGGCCUUGCGCUUGCUAGGCAAGCGCUCUACCACUGAGCUAAAUCCCCAACCCCUUUCAGUCAUUUUUUAAGAACUAUAAAUAUCUUAAUAUAAAUUACAAAGGUCACUGCAAUGCCAUUCAUGCACUAUUAGAUGUUUAUGCACAGAUGACUGUUGGAUAAUCAGCAUGUCAGUAAUUUCACGUCUUGUCUCCUUUUUAAAAUUUGUAUAUGUAUAGGCGUUUUGACUGAAUGCAUGUCUGCACACUAUGUGUAUGCAAAACAUAGAGAAGGCAGAAAGGGGGCAUCAGAUUCUCUGGAACUGGAUUACAGAUAUUUUUGAGCAUUGGUGCUGGGCACCAAAUCCAGAUCCCAUGCAAGAGCAGCCAGUGCCCAUGCUCUAAACUGCCAAGCCACCUCUCCAUCUUGUUUUCAGUGGUAAAAAUGACAUUGUGUGCUCUUGACUAUUUUUAUGAAUGUGGAUUUGUGUGUGUGUGCCCACAGAGGAGUCGCAUCCUCUGGGGCAGGGGUUACAUACAGGCAAUUGUGAACCGUCUGGUGUGUGCUUGGAACUGAACUUGGGUCAUCUGAUAGAAUAGCAAGCACUCUUUGUGGCUUAGCAAUCUCUCCAGCUCCAACUGAUUGACCUUAUACUGGGUUUUUUGUUUUUUGUUUUUUUUGUUUCUCGGAGCUGGGGACCGAACCCAGGGCCUUGCACUUGCUAGGCAAGCACUCUACCACUGAGCUAAAUCCCCAACCCCUAUACUGGGUUUUUGUUGUUGUUGUUGUGGUUUUGUUUUGUUUGGUCUUUUGUUUGUUUACUCCAAAUUUUAUUCCAGAUAACUUUCAUGAGUUGUUCUCCUUAUUACAGAGGUUUAAAAAAAUACUUUUACCAAAAGUGUGUCUUUUGAUAUGUACAUGAGUGCUUCCUGUAUGUCUGUGUGCCCCCUACUUCUACAGGUCAGAAGAGGAUGUUAGAUCCCCUAGAACUGGAGUAAGAGGUUUGUGAGCUGCCAUGUAGGUGCUGGAAUUGAACCUGGGUUGUCUACAAGAGCAGCCAGUGCUGUUAACCACUGGGCAACCCCUCUAGCCCCUAUGUUAGGUUUUGGUAAUUUACCGACAUCAUGGUUAUCAGACAUCAGUAAUGAAAGGCCCUGCUAUUUUUUGGAUUAACCUUAAUCAUAGUAAUUGUUUAUGUUUGAUGUCGUUAGUGAUGACCACUCGUCCACAUUACCUUCAAAUAAUGACACUUGAACCUCUAAGCUCAUACCUGUUCACGUACUCUGUCUGCCAGUCAGGCUGAGACUUACAAAAUGUUAUUGUAUGAAUGAGUGGGUAAUGUCACUGAGCUCGGCUGUGCAUGGGGAAGGCAGCUUUUGGGAGUCAGUUUUCUUCUUCCAUUUUGUUUUAAGGGUCUUCAGGCAGUAGUCAUGCAUCAGGAGGAGGGGCAGUCAGUAUUGGCGCUUGAAGAAAACAACUUAGCCAUCAGCAAAGCCACUAUGAGUAGACCUCUGAUAGAAAAACCCUGAGGGUCUUGUUUCCUGAAGACCCCUUGCUAUUGCUAGCCUUACUAGACUUGUUGCUGCCUUGGUCACUCUGGUUUUUUUUCUUUUGCCUUGUAUAAAUAUCCUUGGGUGGGAGGGUUCUAAUUCUCCACUGGGUAAUGCAAUCACAAUGUAUAACAAUAGUGAUUUCCCCCAAAGCAUUGCCAGUCAGAUAGAUUAAUGAUUUAACAUAAGAUUUCUGAGAAAAAAAUUUUUAAAUAUGUACUGUUAAAAAGAUUAGGUCAAGGUGCUCUUUAUGUACAAUGAAUUAAAUCAGGUCAGGGUGUUCUGUCAGCUGCUUUGUAGCAGUACACCCAGGGCACAUCGUAAAACCUUCUCAGUUACUGAAUGAAAGGCAUGCUAAGGUCAGGAAGUAAAACUAAGGCAAGCCCAGUUGCUAAGGGCUCGUGAGUUUCAGUGCCCGUUGUUUAGAUUGAGUUCUGUGUCCAUUUGUAAAAUCUGCUUUUCCUGGUUUUAUAAAUUUGCUGAUAACCUUUGGUGUGCAUCUUGAGGACUUACUGCAUGUAGACUGGGUAGAGUCUUCUUUUUUGUUGUCUCAAAAAAAGUAAAAGAUCUCUGACCUAAAGUUCUCUUGUUAACCAUACAUUUACUUUGCUAUAAGAACAAUAUAAGAACAGGUAGAUGGUUAAUCGUGUCAGAUGAAUAAGAACUGUGUUAAGUUAGAAUAACAUGAUGUCUACUCCUUGCUUGUAACUGCAAACUGCUACUUGCUGGUACAAGAUAAACUGGCUGUUAAACAUAUUUGGCUUGCUCAAAUCUGUUACUCCAUAAUAGAAAAACUAUUACUUUAGGACAUAGAUGUAUUAUGGGAAGAAAUCACAUAAGAAGCUGAAUGAUCAGAUGUGGAAUUUAGAAUAACUUGCUUUUAAAAAUAUAAAACCUGGGGGCUGGAGAGAUGGCUCAGUGGUUAAGAGCACUGGCUGCUCUUCCAGAGGUCCUGAGUUCAAUUCCCAGCAACCACAUGGUGGUUCACAGUCAUCUGUAAUGAGCUCCAACAACCUCUUCUCAUGUGUCUGAAGAUAGUGAUAGUGUACUCAUAUACAUUAAUCUUUAAAAAAAGAGAAAUGGUUAUAACGUGAUUUUUCCUGCAUGGGGAUUUAAUUAAGGCAUAUAAAGACUAAGAGAAAAAGUUGGUGGAGCCUGGUUUCACCUACUGAGUGCGUGUGUGCCUGUGUGUGCGCACGCGCGUGCAAGUGCGUGCUGUGACUGCUUUAGUCACUGCCCUCACAUCUCCUUGGAUCCCUAAACACACCGAUAGAGCAGGCUUCUGGCAGUCUCUUGUUUCUGCCAUGCUUCAUACCCCAGGUUAGCUGGUGUCAAGGUUGCAGGUGAUUCUCCUGCUUCUGCUUCUCAUCUUGCAGUAAGAGUGCUGGGAUUACAGAUGCAUGCUACCACAUCUAGCUUUUUUAAAAGAUUUAAAUUUUCUGUGUCUCUCUCUCCAUGUGUAGGUACGUGCAUAAGUGAAUACUGCAUUCCUGAGGUCCACAAGCUGUGGGACCCUCUGGACCUGUUGUUAUAAAUGGUUGUAAUCACCAAUAUGGAUGCUGUGAACUGAACUCAGGUCCUCUACAACGCAGUAAAUACUUAACCACAGAGCCAACUCUCCAGCCUUAAGUUCUUAUGUAAAAUGGGGCUUCUGGGGAUUGAACUCAGGUAAUUAUGCUUGCACGGCUAGCAUAUUUACCAGCUGAGGCUUCUUGCCAACCUGGUUGAGCCUUUUGAUCCCUCAAAAGAUAAGGUGGAAGUCUCUGCUCAACACAGAAGCCUCAGAAUUGUUUUCAAUCCUUUGCAACCCUUAAGAGAUCAACAUUUCAGAGGAGGAAACUGAGGCAGGAUAGAAAGUAACAAUUAUGGGGACAUAGGAAAGGAGCCCCUCGCCUUGGAGUCUGACUGAAACUUCUCUCUAGUUGAGAAGAAUUGCAGCACAAUUAAUGACAUUUGUUGUAAAGGUUGUCAACAUUAAGAAUAACAUUUCUUUAUAUAUAGAUAUGUUAAAAUAGCAAUGAACUAGGCUUAAGGCCUGAAUGUGUAGGACCUUGGGUAGGGAGGGACUGAACAUUUUCUAGAAAUCUCAAACAAGACAAUUAACAUUUAGAGUGAAAAUAACCUACCUAGACCACUUUUUACACAUUUUUACCUUACCACUGUAAUCUAGACUAUAAUCCCCCCAGAAAGUUUAUGAUAGCAUUUGUUUCUUAGCAACCCUUUAAAGCUAGCAACUUCAAAACCUACUGUACUGGCUAGCUUUAUGCUGACUUGACACAAGCUGGAGUCACUAGAGAGCCUCAAUUGAGAAAAAUGGCUCUGUCGACUGUAGGGAAGCCUGUGGGCAUUUUAUUAAUUAGUGAUUCGGGGGGGGGGGCCCAGCCCAUCAUGGAUGGUGCCCCUGGGCUGGAAGUCCUGGGUUCUCUAAGGGAUCAGGCCGAGCAUACCAUGGAGAGCAAGCCAGUAAGUAGCAUUCCUCCAGUGGACUUGGCAUCAGCCCCUGCCUCCAGGUUCCUGCCCUCACUGCUUUUGAUGAUGAACUGUUAUAUGGAACUGUGAGUGAAAUAAACCCUUUUCUCUUC